AGAGAGAGAGAGAGAGAGAGACUCAGCCUGCCCGUUUGUGUGUACGCGCGCGAGGGAAGGGGCGCCCCUCGCUCCAGCCUAGCGGCUGCGCCAAACUUCAUCCCAAGGUCGACGUGAAAGGCCAAGACCCGGCCCCACUGUCGGAUCUGUGACUUGUCUGGACAGAGCGGUGGGAGCAAGGCCUGGAGAACCGAGGGAUGUUUUGCUGGAAAGCCGCCCCUCUCCGCCCCUCACAUCCUAGGAUGGACCAGGAGACCACUCCCAGGCUGUGGUCCUCCUCAGGGCCAGGCCCCUUCCCAGUUUUAUUUCCUGCUGACAACCAGCAUCAGCACCCCCAGACCUAAAAGGCCCCCAGGUAGCUCUCUGACUUCAGCUCUGCAAAGCCAUAGGCCAAUGCAAAGCUGGGAGACUGUCCUCUUCUCCCGCCUUCCUUCUUUCCCCAAAGGGAAAAAUCCAAGGCCUCCAGUUAAUACUUUAAAAAAUAAAAGCACCGUCCUCACCAACAUUCUCCUUAGGUUUGGGAGGUGUCUCAAAGCCAAUAAUUC
Bos taurus (domestic cattle) is the source of this 545-nucleotide long non-coding RNA. Lineage: Eukaryota; Metazoa; Chordata; Mammalia; Artiodactyla; Bovidae. The record is from Ensembl.